This 31-nucleotide non-coding RNA is filed under the name Rattus norvegicus (Norway rat). Lineage: Eukaryota; Metazoa; Chordata; Mammalia; Rodentia; Muridae. The record is from RNAcentral.
UAAUGGUGUGGUCUGCAUGAUAUUUGUUGGA